Cottoperca gobio is the source of this 840-nucleotide long non-coding RNA. RefSeq lists it as uncharacterized. The transcript has 3 exons. Lineage: Eukaryota; Metazoa; Chordata; Actinopteri; Perciformes; Bovichtidae. The record is from RefSeq and is a predicted model, not a curated record.
GAUACAAUUUGAAUGUUGAGUUGAUGCAAAUAGGCAAAAAAAAUACAGCUAAGGUGCCCUAAACCAAGAGUUCCUUGUGAGUUCUAAUAUUAGGUAGUCUGAGUUGUUGCACACACAAAAGGCUCUACUCACACAGACUGCACAAUUCAGCUUUCAAAUUUGUCCAAAUAAAGUAAGGUAAAAAUGUACAGAAAGGGGGCUGCUUCAUCUACGACAGGGGGAACGACGGGUAGCUGACUACUCCAUUGAGUUUCAUAAAAUCGGCUCUGAAAUCAGUCAAGCAGCCAGUUGCCUUGCCCAUGCACCUGGGAAGGACCCGCCUCAACCCGGAGGAACGUUGUCAGCGUUGCAUGGAGAAUCGCUGCAUGUACUGCAGCAUGUACUGCAGAAUGUCGCUUCCUGCCCGGUAAAAGAAAAUGCCCACUAGUAAUCCGGAGGGCUCUGAUGGGCAAGGCUCUUCUCCCUGAAAUGCCCUCUCGACCAUUAAUGUAUGCACAAUUUAUUUGGGAUGGAAACAAACAGUGUCAGUUUUCAACUUGGGAGCGUACGCCAACUUUCUGUAUUACCAGUUGGCUCGUCAACUCAACAUCCCAUAGAAUCUCCCGGAGAUCCCCAUAGUGGCCAGUGCUCUUGACGGCCACCUUCUAGCCACUGUCAACUACUAUCCUGCUCCAGUGCACCUCAGCAUGUCAGGAGGAGGGUUAUUUUUUGUGGACAAGAAGAAUAGGUCUCUGCAUCCCUGAAUUGACUAUGGUGGACUGAAAACUGUGAAAAACAGGUACCUCCUCGCACUCAUUUCAUCCACUUUUGAAUUCCUCCAAGGUGCCAUUAUUUUCACCA